GACGAACGCUGGCGGCGUGCUUAACACAUGCAAGUCGAACGGAAAGGCCCUGCUUUUGUGGGGUGCUCGAGUGGCGAACGGGUGAGUAACACGUGAGUAACCUGCCCUUGACUUUGGGAUAACUUCAGGAAACUGGGGCUAAUACCGGAUAGGAGCUCCUGCUGCAUGGUGGGGGUUGGAAAGUUUCGGCGGUUGGGGAUGGACUCGCGGCUUAUCAGCUUGUUGGUGGGGUAGUGGCUUACCAAGGCUUUGACGGGUAGCCGGCCUGAGAGGGUGACCGGCCACAUGGGGACUGAGAUACGGCCCAGACUCCUACGGGAGGCAGAAGUGGGGAAUAUUGCACAAUGGGCGGAAGCCUGAGGCAGAAACGCCGCGUGCGGGAUGACGGCCUUCGGGUGGUAAACCGCUUUCGCCUGUGACGAAGCGUGAGUGACGGUAAUGGGUAAAGAAGCACCGGCUAACUACGUG
Molecule: ribosomal RNA, 468 nt
Filed under: uncultured bacterium
Lineage: Bacteria
Description: partial 16S ribosomal RNA
Rfam family: Bacterial small subunit ribosomal RNA
Source: RNAcentral